This 412-nucleotide ribosomal RNA is filed under the name uncultured bacterium. Its description in RNAcentral is "bacterial SSU rRNA". It matches the Rfam family "Bacterial small subunit ribosomal RNA", at positions 505 to 916 of the family's 1533-position model. The record is from RNAcentral.
GUGCCAGCAGCCGCGGUAAUACGGGGGGGGCAAGCGUUGUUCGGAAUUACUGGGCGUAAAGGGCUCGUAGGCGGCCAACUAAGUCAGACGUGAAAUCCCUCGGCUUAACCGGGGAACUGCUUCUGAUACUGGAUGGCUUGAGUUUGGGAGAGGGAUGCGGAAUUCCAGGUGUAGCGGUGAAAUGCGUAGAUAUCUGGAGGAACACCGGUGGCGAAGGCGGCAUUCUGGACCGGUAUUGACGCUGAUGAACGAAAGCUAGGGGGCAAACAGGAUUAGAUACCCCGGUAGUCCACGCUGUAAACGAUGACGACUAGGUGUGGGGGGGUUCAGUCCCUUCCGUGCCGCAGCUAACGCAUUAAGUCGUCCGCCUGGGGAGUACGGCCGCAAGGUUGAAACUCAAAGGAAUUGACGG